GACGAGGGGUCCAAGCGUUGUUCGGAAUCAUUGGGCGUAAAGCGGGUGUAGGUGGCUCUAUAAGUCAGGAGUGAAAGCCCCGAGCUUAACUUGGGAAGUGCUUUUGAUACUGUAGAGCUUGAAUGUGGGAGAGGAUCGUGGAAUUCCAGGUGUAGUGGUGAAAUACGUAGAUAUCUGGAGGAACACCGGUGGCGAAGGCGGCGAUCUGGCCCAACAUUGACACUGAGACCCGAAAGCGUGGGGAGCGAACAGG
This 253-nucleotide ribosomal RNA is filed under the name uncultured bacterium. Its description in RNAcentral is "partial 16S ribosomal RNA". It matches the Rfam family "Bacterial small subunit ribosomal RNA", at positions 524 to 776 of the family's 1533-position model. The record is from RNAcentral.